CAAUGAAGUAGGCUUUUGUAUAUAAUAAUUAGACCAGUUUUUAUUAAACAUAAAAAAUGCAUAAGUGGCUCAUUAAAAAACAGGCACCUUGUCCUUCACCCUCCAUGCAAGCUGCCUCUGUAGAGCUCAGCGCACCUGCUAGCAACAGUGAACAUGCUGCCUCUGACAAGCCCAGUACCUCUGCUUCCAACACCGAGCAGAGCCUUGUUGCAUCCACAACGGUAAAUCCUCCAAAUGCAUGUCCUCCACAAAAUCCACAUGCACCAUCCUCCAGCUCUGCAUCUGUGUCGGAGCCAGCAACAUUCUGCCCUCCCCAAAACAGACAAUCCUCCUCCAGCUCUAGUGUGUCUGUUCCCUCUGACUUAGAUUUGUAUAGCCCAUCCCAGCCCAAGCUAAGCAGCUAUCCUAAGCGCCCAUUUGGACAGGCUCUUAGGUGUUUCAAUGCAGACUGGUAUCAGUCUCGACCAUGGCUCGAAUAUUCUGUCUUACGUGAUGCCAGCUUUUGCUUUCCCUGCCGUAAAUUUUGUGUCUCCAAUUCGGAAAGAGAUGACACAUUCACAAAAGUAGGCUACACCAAUUGGAAAAAAGCGCUGAUAAAAAACAGUGGUUUUCAGAAAUAUGCCUCCGGCACUGUGCACGUCAGAGCCAUGUCUGCGUGGCAGGAAUACCAGUGCCGGACAGAGACCGAUAAUACCAUUGUUCACCAGCUUGGUCAAACUCACAUCGAAAAAAACAGAUAUUAUGUAAAAAGUAUUGGGGAAGUUAUUCAGUUUCUGGCGGUUAAUGAACUUGCUCUACGUGGGCACCAUCACGGGGGUGGGGAUGAGGAAGGUCUUUUAAUUCAGCUAUUUGAUUACACCCUCCAAAAAGAUCCUAAACUCCCAGAGAAAUACACGUCCAAUUUGAUUCAGAACGAGAUAACUCAAACUCAUGCCAAAAUGGUACUAAAAGACAUCCAGACCAAAUAUAAGGAGGCCGACUCUGCUGGCCUUUGUAUUAAAAGUGAUGGUACCAGGGAUCGGUGUAACAUUGAGAAUUUGUCAGUCAUCAUUAGAUUUGGCCGCAACUCGAUCCCAGAAGAACACCUAAUUGGCCUCAUUGAAUUGAAUCAGCUUGAUGCUGAGUGUCUGACCUGGGUUACAAUGGUGACAAUUUAGUGUCUCAGUGUUAUGAUGGUGCUUCUGUCAUGUCAGGACCGAGGGGCGGUGUGCAGGCUUUGCUGCAAAACAACGUGGGUAAAGAUAUCCCAUAUGUGCACUGCUACAACCACCAACUCCAUUUGGCAGUAGUACAUGCAAUGCAUGCAGAACCAGUGGCAAAGAAGUUCUUUGACUGGUCCAGUUAACUGAACACAUUUUGUCACAGACGUUAUGUUGCAAAUAGAUACAGUAAACCCACACUGGAAAGACUACUAGAAAUUCGCUGGACCAGUCAUUAUGAUGUCACCAAGACUAUUGUUCACAAUAAGGUAGAGGUCUGCAUUCCCGCGACCGUUAUGCACGCGCUGCAAGCAUGGACCAGUUUUUUCUGCAUCAUGCAUUGUAUUUGCAGGGUCUGUGCGCGCAGCAUGUGCA
Molecule: long non-coding RNA, 1574 nt
Organism: Cyprinus carpio carpio
Lineage: Eukaryota; Metazoa; Chordata; Actinopteri; Cypriniformes; Cyprinidae
Source: Ensembl